GGUUGGGGGGGGGCCCGGGGGGUUUAUGGGUUUUGUGAACCUGCUCAUGAUUGAACGGCUGCGGCGUGCUUAACACAUGCAAGUCGAACGAUGAUCCCAGCUUGCUGGGGGAUUAGUGGCGAACGGGUGAGUAACACGUGAGUAACCUGCCCUUGACUCUGGGAUAAGCCUGGGAAACUGGGUCUAAUACCGGAUAUGACUCCUCAUCGCAUGGUGGGGGGUGGAAAGCUUUUGUGGUUUUGGAUGGACUCGCGGCCUAUCAGCUUGUUGGUGGGGUAAUGGCCUACCAAGGCGACGACGGGUAGCCGGCCUGAGAGGGUGACCGGCCACACUGGGACUGAGACACGGCCCAGACUCCUACGGGAGGCAGCAGUGGGGAAUAUUGCACAAUGGGCGCAAGCCUGAUGCAGCGACGCCGCGUGAGGGAUGACGGCCUUCGGGUUGUAAACCUCUUUCAGUAGGGAAGAAGCGAAAGUGACGGUACCUGCAGAAGAAGCGCCGGCUAACUACGUGCCAGCAGCCGCGGUAAUACGUAGGGCGCAAGCGUUAUCCGGAAUUAUUGGGCGUAAAGAGCUCGUAGGCGGUUUGUCGCGUCUGCUGUGAAAGACCGGGGCUCAACUCCGGUUCUGCAGUGGGUACGGGCAGACUAGAGUGCAGUAGGGGAGACUGGAAUUCCUGGUGUAGCGGUGAAAUGCGCAGAUAUCAGGAGGAACACCGAUGGCGAAGGCAGGUCUCUGGGCUGUAACUGACGCUGAGGAGCGAAAGCAUGGGGAGCGAACAGGAUUAGAUACCCUGGUAGUCCAUGCCGUAAACGUUGGGCACUAGGUGUGGGGGACAUUCCACGUUUUCCGCGCCGUAGCUAACGCAUUAAGUGCCCCGCCUGGGAGAACGCCAACGGC
Molecule: ribosomal RNA, 899 nt
Filed under: Micrococcaceae bacterium DP_00082
Lineage: Bacteria; Bacillati; Actinomycetota; Actinomycetes; Micrococcales; Micrococcaceae
Description: bacterial SSU rRNA
Rfam family: Bacterial small subunit ribosomal RNA
Source: RNAcentral